This 483-nucleotide ribosomal RNA is filed under the name uncultured bacterium. RNAcentral's name for it is "partial 16S ribosomal RNA". It matches the Rfam family "Bacterial small subunit ribosomal RNA", at positions 30 to 507 of the family's 1533-position model. The record is from RNAcentral.
AUUGAACGCUGGCGGCAGGCCUAACACAUGCAAGUCGAGCGGAUGAAGGGAGCUUGCUCCUGGAUUCAGCGGCGGACGGGUGAGUAAUGCCUAGGAAUCUGCCUGGUAGUGGGGGAUAACGUCCGGAAACGGGCGCUAAUACCGCUUACGUCCUGAGGGAGAAAGUGGGGGAUCUUCGGACCUCACGCUAUCAGAUGAGCCUAGGUCGGAUUAGCUAGUUGGUGGGGUAAAGGCCUACCAAGGCGACGAUCCGUAACUGGUCUGAGAGGAUGAUCAGUCACACUGGAACGGAGACACGGUCCAGACUCCUACGGGAGGAAGCAGUGGGGAAUAUUGGACAAUGGGCGAAAGCCUGAUCCAGCCAUGCCGCGGGUGUGAAGAAGGUCUUCGGAUUGUAAAGCACUUAAGUUGGGAGGAAGGGCAGUAAGUUAAUACCUUGCUGUUUUGACGUUACCAACAGAAUAAGCACCGGCUAACUUCAUG